AGAAAAGUUGCGUCCAGUACUCUGUUUUGUUUCAGCUUAGUGGGAAGCAGAGCUCAGAUUUACCCAGGCUUGGGGAUCUGUAAACUCCCCUACCUGUGAGGUGAGACUGGAUCCUGAGAUGCUGGCUCUCUACUUCUACACAGUUCAUCAUGAAACAUUGGCCUGGGCAGAAGACUUGCAUUGUGGCUUCAACUCAGGGACCUGGAGGUGCCAUGUACAGAAAAAGGAAAAUUCACAUUUUGCAACGCUUGUUAUAUGUCAACUGUGACAUCACAUUCAUAAUGUAUUCUCUGUGCAUUUAUUAACCUCCACUAUAUACCUGGUGAUAAGCUGUAUUCUGACUGCAAGGAGGACAGCAAGAUGUACACAACAUACAUAAUUUGUACUGAAUCCCCAGGAGAGGAGGUACAUGUGUGUGUGUGUGUGUUGGGUGACCAUUUCUUAGUUUCAGACUCUGGAACAAGGGACUGAGGCACAUAUUUAUUUUACAUAGCAUAACAGACCUGGUUUCCAGGUUUUUCCAGCAUCUGCCACUCCCUACCUGCCAUACCCUGUUUGCAAGUCUAAACUUUCCAGCCCAGAGGCUAGGCUGCAGCUCUUCCCUAUAUAAUCCAGAGAUUUAGAUCCCGUGUGUGUGUGUGUGUGUGUGUGUGUGUGUGUGUGUGUGUGUGCUUCUCUUCUUCUCUCUCUGUGCACACAUUUUCUUUCUCUCUCUCCCCUCACCCUUCUUCUUUCUUUCUCCCUUCCCAUAGGGACUUUCUGGCUGGCUAAUAUACAGAGGAUUACAAAGUCCCUGUAAUUUUUCCAAGACAUAUUGAGGACAUAUCUCAUCUCUGUAAGGAUGAGAGGAUGGAAGCUUGCUCAUCAUACAUGCUGGUAUCUAGGGGAUUCACAGAGGAAUUCUAAGAAUGAGAAUCUUGGCCUUUCUCAACUUGUAAGUAGAACAUGGACUAGUUUGCCAUGGAUACAAACUUGAAAGUGACUGUAACAAGCAAAGAAGAUGAGGCGUGCAGGUUCAGACAUUGGGCAGCUUGCCAAACCCAUGGGAAAACAAUUGCCAGCUUUUCCACUUGGUUAGGGGUAUGCUGGGUUCUCUACCUUGGAGCUUCUGGAUCAGGGACCUUCAUGUAACCUCUCAGCUUGGCAGGAUCCACCCUUGCAUCUUCUGCGUGCAUCCAAAUGCAGAGCCUAGGCUACAACAGAAAAUGUUCCAAGAUUAAAGGUCUUCUGUGGAAGGUCGGCAGUCAAAUCCUUAUGCGGAAAAUUCUGUGACUCUCAAACCCCAGCCCUGUGCUGAGGAGCCCAGUUGCCUCCAUAUGCAUUUGAUCUUGCUCUUUGG
This 1339-nucleotide long non-coding RNA is filed under the name Mus spicilegus (steppe mouse). RNAcentral's name for it is "lncRNA (ENSMSIG00000025658.1)". Lineage: Eukaryota; Metazoa; Chordata; Mammalia; Rodentia; Muridae. The record is from RNAcentral.